UACGGGGGGAGCAAGCGUUGUUCGGAUUUACUGGGCGUAAAGGGCGCGUAGGCGGCCACCGCAAGUCGGUUGUGAAAUCUCUGGGCUUAACCCAGAAAGGUCAACCGAUACUGCGGGGCUAGAGUGCAGAAGGGGCAACUGGAAUUCUCGGUGUAGCGGUGAAAUGCGUAGAUAUCGAGAGGAACACCUGCGGCGAAGGCGGGUUGCUGGACUGACACUGACGCUGAAGCGCGAAAGCUAGGGGAGCGAACGGG
This 254-nucleotide ribosomal RNA is filed under the name uncultured bacterium. RNAcentral's name for it is "partial 16S ribosomal RNA". It matches the Rfam family "Bacterial small subunit ribosomal RNA", at positions 524 to 776 of the family's 1533-position model. The record is from RNAcentral.